This 523-nucleotide ribosomal RNA is filed under the name Paecilomyces variotii. RNAcentral describes it as "Byssochlamys spectabilis partial small subunit ribosomal RNA". The stretch from base 1 to 146 matches the Rfam family "Eukaryotic small subunit ribosomal RNA", at positions 1300 to 1470 of the family's 1831-position model. The record is from RNAcentral. Lineage: Eukaryota; Fungi; Ascomycota; Eurotiomycetes; Eurotiales; Thermoascaceae.
GGUGGAUGAUUUGUCUGCUUACUUGCGAUAACGAACGAGACCUCGGCCCUUAAAUAGCCCGGUCCGCGUUUGCGGGCCGCUGGCUUCUUAGGGGGACUAUCGGCUCAAGCCGAUGGAAGUGCGAGGCAAUAACAGGUCUGUGAUGCAAAUGAACCCCCCGCCCCCAAACGGUGUGUCUUUUAGAAAAUUUCUCUCUAAGUGGAUAAUAAAUUCCAUCAAACUCUAAAUAAUGGCAAUACACCUAUAGCAAACAAAUACUGUGAUCGAAACAAGAAAAGCUCUUUGAAAAGAGAGUGAAACAAUAUGUGAUAUUGUUCAUCUGCAAGGGCGCGCAAACACACACGGUUUUACCGCCCCCACCUCGAAUAGGGGAGAAGAACAAAAACUCGAAAAUGUCGCGCGCACCUUCGGGCGCGCGUGUUAUAUCUCGUGUUGACCCCCCUCUCCCUUUUCGAGCCCUGCGAUUCUGACACGCGGGCAUAGUGGUUGCAACCCCCCCCUUGAAAAAAAAAAACAAAAAAUA